Long non-coding RNA from Coffea eugenioides, 2379 nucleotides. RefSeq lists it as uncharacterized. Lineage: Eukaryota; Viridiplantae; Streptophyta; Magnoliopsida; Gentianales; Rubiaceae. The transcript has 2 exons. The record is from RefSeq and is a predicted model, not a curated record.
UUCUCCUGAAGAUGACCCACCACAUUUGGAUAACUCCUCAUCAAAUAAGGAUGAAGUUCCAACCCCUGAAGCUGGGAUGGAAUUCUCUUCUGAACAACAAGUUCGCCAAUUCUAUAGAUCUUAUGCUCAACGUCUUGGAUUUGGGAUUUCCAAAGUUUCUUGCAAGAAUGGAGAUGAUGAUGGCAAGCAGAAGUAUUUUUCACUCGGAUGCUCCAAGAAUGGUAAGACCAAAUCAACUACUAAACAUUCUUACCAUCGAAGGCUCUCAGUCUCCACAAAGACCGACUGUUCUGUAAAGCUAAAAUCAAUGUUGCCAUUAUGGAUGAUGGUACUUGCGUCGUCACUCCCUUGACCACAGUCAUGACUUCACUCCAGAAAAAUCACACCAUAUUAGACGUGACAAGUUCUCGGACUAUUCUAAUGUCAGAACAGAAUUAAAGUUUCACACUUUCAUGACCAAAACAUUUCAGAAGCUCAAAGUUUGAGACUCAGACCUGGAGAUGCUUGGGCCUUGGGUAAUUUUUUUUCCACCAUAUGCAAGUCAGAGAUCCUAAUUUCUUUUAUGCGGUUAAUUUGGAUGAAGAAUGUCGCAUAAGAAAUAUAUUUUGGGCAGAUGCAAGGUGUAGAGCAACGUAUGAGUCCUUUUGUUAUGUCAUUUCUUUUGAUACUACUUGUUUGACUCAGAGCUGUGAUUUGCCUUUGGUUUCAUUCAUUGGAAUGUACAAUCAUGGCCAAACUGUAUUGCUAGGUUGCGGAUUGGUAUCUGGGGAGGAUACGGAACUUUUGUGUGGUUAUUCAGAUCUUGGUUAACAAGCAUGCUAAGACGUGCUCCGAAGGCGAUAAUCAUUGAUGAAGACAGCUCCAUUCAAGCUGCUGUUGCUGAGGAAUUUCCAGAUUCCCAUUAUUGUUUGUGCCUGAGGCAAAUAACGAGAAAACUCCCACAAAUAUUAGGACGUCUUACUUAUUAUAAAGCAAUAAAGGGGAGUUUGGAAAAUAUAUUGUUUAUGAUUCUAUUAAAGGGGAUGAGUUUGAAGAGAAUUGGGAGAAGCUGCUUAAAGAUUUUGAAUUGGAGAAGAAUGAUUGGUUAAAAUCAUUGUAUCAAGAUUGGCACACUUUUUGGGCUGGCAAGUCAAAAACAACAUUGAAGCAGUUUGUUGAACACUAAGAUAAUGCUUUGAAGAAUAAGAUAGACAGAGAGAAAAAUUCAGAUGUUGCUUCAUCCAACUCCACCACGCCAACAAUAUCUGGACAUCCCAUUGAAAAGCAAUUUCAAAAUAUUUACACUACCUCCAUCUUCAAGUUGGUUCAGGAGGAAUUAAGAGGGUUGAUGUUUUGCACUGCCUGCUUUGUGAAAAAAGAGGGGUCAGUUUGAAUUUAUGGCGUUGUAGAAAACAUGUUAGAUAAUGAAGGAGUACAUUGGAAAGAAGUUAUGUUUGAUGUACAUUAUGAUACUGAAAAUGCAUGUCAGAUUAAUUGUUUUUGUCAUCUUUUUGAGUCUCGGGGUAUCCUUUGUAGGCAUGUAAUCUCUGUGCUAACCAUGAACAAUUUUACCAAGGUUUCAACAUGUUAUGUUUUGGACUGAUGGCGCAAAGACAUGAAUCGUGGUUACCAGCGUGUAAAAGCAGUUUAUGAUGAUUUCAGUGACAAUGAAGAAAGACGUUGUUAUGACUGUCUCAGUCCAUUAUUGUUGGAAGUGCAACAUCUUGUUGCUGAAAAUGAGUAAAGAUGUGACCUUUUGGAGAACUUUUUAACCAAUGCAAGGGAAAAACUUCUUGCCACAGAUGCUACUACUCUGAGUAGUGAAAGAAAUCAGAGUUCGUCAGGUCUGCCUCACAAUAAAAACUUCUUGCCACAGGUAGGAGUUGGAAACAGGGUGGGAACUCCACUGACAGAUGAGAAGGCGGCCAAAAAUAAGGUUACUAAAGGACAUCAAACUCUGGAACAGACACCAACACUUGGUAUGGUGGCAGAACAAGAAAAUCAAAUGGUUUGUAGUUUGGUGUAGGACUCGGAUUGGCAUGACUUCUUGUGAAUUUAGAUGUCUCAAAUGUUUCUCGAUUUACCAUCAAAGAGGAAUAAGAUGCUUGGUUGAAGAAAGUUCGACGAUCUAUCUAUCUUUUGUUAUCUGAGCUGUUGUAGUUGUUAUAUUAUCUCUUUGAUUUUCUUGCUUACUGUGCAGCAGCAAUAAGUUUUCUGGGGCAGUUCAGUGACAGAUUCAUGAUCUUCUCAACACCAAUGAUCACCCAAGGACAAGUUCUCCUUGAUUACUUGUAUACUUAUCAUCCCUAUGUAAGAAUUUGUGGUGGUGGUGAUGGAAGAAUGAUUUUGUACAAAAAGCUGAAUUUGCAAUUAAUCUCAGAUUAUUUUGGUUGAGCGUAA